GGAGGAGACCGGGUGGUCGCCCGCGGGCAGUUAGCCGCGGGAGGAAAGUCCGGACUCCAAGGGCAGGGUGCUGGGUAACGCCCAGGCGGAGCGAUCCGACACCGGCGCCACAGAGAAUAGACCGCCGAUGGCCGAGUCGAGGCGCGUGCAGGGGACGCAACGCACGACCUCAUCUCGGCUCAGGCAAGGGUGAAACGGCGGGGUAAGAGCCCACCGCGUCUCGUGGUGACAUGGACGGCACGGCAAGCGUCGCCCGGAGCAAGACCAAAUAGGAGGACGGCCGAGACGCGACUCGUUCUCGUCUCGGACGCGGCUGGCCCGGCCGAGGUCCUCGGGUAGGUCGCUUGAGGCUCGGGGUAACUCGAGCCCUAGAGAAAUGGCCGCCCCCGCCGUAGCGUCGCGCGAAGGCGGGACAGAAUCCGGCUUAUAGGUUUUCUCCAGCG
Nitrospirae bacterium 13_2_20CM_2_62_8 is the source of this 443-nucleotide non-coding RNA. The record is from Rfam. Lineage: Bacteria; Pseudomonadati; Nitrospirota.